Molecule: ribosomal RNA, 1453 nt
Filed under: uncultured bacterium
Lineage: Bacteria
Description: 16S ribosomal RNA
Rfam family: Bacterial small subunit ribosomal RNA
Source: RNAcentral
GAUGAACGCUAGCGGCAGGCUUAACACAUGCAAGUCGAGGGGCAUCGGGAGGAAAGCUUGCUUUCCUUGCCGGCGACCGGCGCACGGGUGAGUAACACGUAUGCAACCUGCCCUCUUCAGGGGGACAACCUUCCGAAAGGGAGGCUAAUCCCGCGUAUAUCGGUUUCGGGCAUCCGAGAUCGAGGAAAGAUUCAUCGGAAGAGGAUGGGCAUGCGGCGCAUUAGCUUGACGGCGGGGUAACGGCCCACCGUGGCGACGAUGCGUAGGGGUUCUGAGAGGAAGGUCCCCCACACUGGUACUGAGACACGGACCAGACUCCUACGGGAGGCAGCAGUGAGGAAUAUUGGUCAAUGGGAGAGAUCCUGAACCAGCCAAGCCGCGUGAGGGAAGACGGCCCUAUGGGUUGUAAACCUCUUUUGUCGGAGAACAAAACCCGGGACGUGUCCCGGACUGCGUGUAUCCNAAGAAAAAGCAUCGGCUAACUCCGUGCCAGCAGCCGCGGUAAUACGGAGGAUGCGAGCGUUAUCCGGAUUUAUUGGGUUUAAAGGGUGCGUAGGCGGUCCGUUAAGUCAGCGGUAAAAUUGCGGGGGCUCAACCCCGUCGAGCCGUUGAAACUGGCAGACUUGAGUUGGCGAGAAGUACGCGGAAUGCGCGGUGUAGCGGUGAAAUGCAUAGAUAUCGCGCAGAACUCCGAUUGCGAAGGCAGCGUACCGGCGCCAGACUGACGCUGAGGCACGAAAGCGUGGGGAUCGAACAGGAUUAGAUACCCUGGUAGUCCACGCAGUAAACGAUGAAUGCUGGUUGUCCGGGUCGAAUGAGAUCUGGGCGGCGAAGCGAAAGCGAUAAGCAUUCCACCUGGGGAGUACGCCGGCAACGGUGAAACUCAAAGGAAUUGACGGGGGCCCGCACAAGCGGAGGAACAUGUGGUUUAAUUCGAUGAUACGCGAGGAACCUUACCCGGGCUCAAACGGGAGUGGAAUGGACCAGAGACGGUUCAGCCUACGGGCCGCUUCCGAGGUGCUGCAUGGUUGUCGUCAGCUCGUGCCGUGAGGUGUCGGCUUAAGUGCCAUAACGAGCGCAACCCCCCGCCGGCAGUUGCUAACGGGCAAUGCCGAGGACUCUGCCGGGACUGCCGCCGCAAGGCGAGAGGGAGGCGGGGAUGACGUCAAAUCAGCACGGCCCUUACGUCCGGGGCGACACACAUGUUACAAUGGGCGGUACAGCGGGAAGCCAGGCGGCGACGCCGAGCGGAACCCGAAAGCCGUUCUCAGUUCGGAUCGGAGUCUGCAACCCGACUCCGUGAAGCUGGAUUCGCUAGUAAUCGCGCAUCAGCCAUGGCGCGGUGAAUACGUUCCCGGGCCUUGUACACACCGCCCGUCAAGCCAUGGGAGCCGGGGGUGCUUGAAGUGCGUCGCCGCGAGGCGCGCCCUAGAGCAAAACCGGUGACUGGGGC